CCUACGGGUGACUGCAGUGAGGAAUAUUGGUCAAUGGGCUUACGCCUGAACCAGCCAAGUCGCGUGAGGGAAGACUGCCCUAUGGGUUGUAAACCUCUUUUGUCAGGGAGCAACGCCUGCUACGUGUAGCCUGACUGAGAGUACCUGAAGAAAAAGCAUCGGCUAACUCCGUGCCAGCAGCCGCGGUAAUACGGAGGAUGCGAGCGUUCUCCGGAUUUAUUGGGUUAAAGGGGUGCGUAGGCGGUAUGCCAAUUCAGCGGGAAAAUCGCGGGGCUAAACCUCGCUCCGCAGUUGAUACUGGCGUGCUUGAGUGGGGGAGAGGUAUGCGGAAUGCGUGGUGUAGCGGUGAAAUGCAUAGAUAUCACGCAGAAGUCCGAUUGCGAAGGCAGCAUACCGGAGCACAACUGACGCUGAAGCACGAAAGCGUGGGUAUCGAACAGGAUUAGAUACCCUUGUAGUC
This 460-nucleotide ribosomal RNA is filed under the name uncultured bacterium. Its description in RNAcentral is "partial 16S ribosomal RNA". It matches the Rfam family "Bacterial small subunit ribosomal RNA", at positions 338 to 795 of the family's 1533-position model. The record is from RNAcentral.